Non-coding RNA from Potamilus streckersoni, 78 nucleotides. The record is from the annotation of a GenBank genome assembly. NCBI's taxonomy places the organism in Eukaryota, Metazoa, Mollusca, Bivalvia, Unionida, Unionidae.
GACCGUUCUGGUAGACUAUUUGGUUAGAGCGUCCGCCUCGGAUGCUGGAGGUUGUGGGUUCAAAUCCCGGCCGAGUCA